This 378-nucleotide ribosomal RNA is filed under the name Triticum aestivum (bread wheat). RNAcentral describes it as "partial small subunit ribosomal RNA". The record is from RNAcentral. Lineage: Eukaryota; Viridiplantae; Streptophyta; Magnoliopsida; Poales; Poaceae.
AUGCGAAAUAACUCGAGGAUAAAUGUGGAAAUCAAUCUUGCUUUUAGAUAUUGUAACCGUUUGACCAUGGUUUGGCCAGUGGGUGACAUGGGAGAAGCUGCCGGCCGAUUCCGGCCCGCUCUGGUGACCCCGGCGGCCAUCCAACACCUUCCAGUGCUCUCCUAUCGUUGCUCUACCAUCUCCACUGCGCUCCAACAUCAUCCGCGGCUAACCCUGGCCGCUCGGACUGCUGGUGUGCGGCAUCGCCAUACUACUAAUAUUCACCUUGCUCAGAGCACUCGGCUCAUCUACAAUAAGUUCAGAAAUGAAUAUCCUAGGCAAAGGUCCAUAUAUAUGAGUUCUGGCGUAUCCAUCAUUGUUGGGAAGGGAAAACCAUAA